AAAAAAGCAGGACUUUGUGCUCUCUCUUUAAACAGUGUCCCCGUAAACUUUAGGUACAUAAUAUGUAUGUCCAUCGUUAUUGGGUGAACCUUUGGACGCUCGUUCAUGUGUUGGACGGUCUCUCGUGUCCAUUGGUUCAGUAAACGAUGGUACACUU
Zea mays is the source of this 157-nucleotide non-coding RNA. The record is from Rfam. NCBI's taxonomy places the organism in Eukaryota, Viridiplantae, Streptophyta, Magnoliopsida, Poales, Poaceae.